This 276-nucleotide ribosomal RNA is filed under the name uncultured Herbaspirillum sp. Its description in RNAcentral is "partial 16S ribosomal RNA". It matches the Rfam family "Bacterial small subunit ribosomal RNA", at positions 128 to 399 of the family's 1533-position model. Lineage: Bacteria; Pseudomonadati; Pseudomonadota; Betaproteobacteria; Burkholderiales; Oxalobacteraceae. The record is from RNAcentral.
GCCCUGGAGUGGGGGAUAACUAGUCGAAAGACUAGCUAAUACCGCAUACGAUCUACGGAUGAAAGUGGGGGAUCGCAAGACCUCAUGCUCGUGGAGCGGCCGAUAUCUGAUUAGCUAGUUGGUGGGGUAAAGGCCUACCAAGGCAUCGAUCAGUAGCUGGUCUGAGAGGACGACCAGCCACACUGGGACUGAGACACGGCCCAGACUCCUACGGGAGGCAGCAGUGGGGAAUUUUGGACAAUGGGCGCAAGCCUGAUCCAGCAAUGCCGGUGAGUG